RNAcentral lists this ribosomal RNA (506 nucleotides) under uncultured bacterium. RNAcentral's name for it is "partial 16S ribosomal RNA". It matches the Rfam family "Bacterial small subunit ribosomal RNA", at positions 899 to 1397 of the family's 1533-position model. The record is from RNAcentral.
ACUCAAAGGAAUAGACGGGGGCUCACACAAGCGGUGGAGCAUGUGGUUUAAUUCGAAGCAACGCGCAGAACCUUACCUGGGCUUGACAUCCUAGGAUUAUCUCUAUGAAAGUAGAGUACGCCUCUUUGAGGUGGAACUAGGACAGGUGCUGCAUGGCUGUCGUCAGCUCGUGUCGUGAGAUGUCGGGUUAAGUCCCUUAACGAGCGAAACCUUUGCCCUUAGUUGCCAGCGGGUAAUGCCGGGGACUCUAAGGGGACUGCCGGUGUCAAACCGGAGGAAGGUGGAGAUGACGUCAAGUCAUCAUGGCCCUUAUGUCCAGGGCUACACACGUGCUACAAUGGCGCGGACAAAGCGAGCCGAAACCGUGAGGUAGAGGAAAUCGCAAAAACCGCGCCCAAGUUCAGAUCGAAGGCUGCAACUCGCCUUCGUGAAGUUGGAAUCGCUAGUAAUCGCGGAUCAGCUACGCCGCGGUGAAUGUGUUCCUGAGCCUUGCACACACCGCCCGU